GGAGGUAGUGACAAUAAAUCACAAUGCGGGACUGUUAGUCUUGCAAUUGGAUUGAGAACAACGUACAACUCUUAUCGAUAAGCCAUUGGAGGGCAAGUCUGGUGCCAGCAGCCGCGGUAAUUCCAGCUCCAAUAGCGUAUAUUAACGUUGUUGCAGUUAAAAAGCUCGUAGUUGAAGUGAGGGAGUGUGUGGGCAUGAGGGCUAGUCUCGAGUGCUUACAACCUCCCCCUUCCAAUGGGUGUAGUGGGGUAUUCACUUAUUUCACUACUCCUUUGGUCGUUUACUGUGAGAAAAUUAGAGUGUUCAAAGCGGGCGUUUGUUUGAAUAGAUUAGCAUGGAAUAAUGAUUGAAGGCUUUCGUGUUCGAUUUGAUUGGUUUGUUCAUGGAAGCAAGGUUAAAAGGAACAGUUGGGGGUAUUCAUAUUCACUAGUUAGAGGUGAAAUUCUCGGAUUUAUGGAAGAUGAACAAGUGCGAAAGCA
This 479-nucleotide ribosomal RNA is filed under the name Blastocystis sp. RNAcentral's name for it is "SSU rRNA". It matches the Rfam family "Eukaryotic small subunit ribosomal RNA", at positions 460 to 953 of the family's 1831-position model. Lineage: Eukaryota; Bigyra; Opalinata; Blastocystidae. The record is from RNAcentral.